AGGGCCCCUGUUGAAUAUCUGACAUCAGGAAUAAUUUAAAUAGCAAAUCAAUUGCAUCGCAUUUGGGCAUGCCUUUACUAAUUGCAUAUUAAUAUGCACUUUGGUACCACCUAAUUAUUCACUCGUUUGGAUUUUGGAAUUUGAAUUAUUAUAGCAAUGAAGAUAAGUGAACCAUAAAAGUAUUGUUUUCAUCGAAGAAAAAACGCUUUAUGGUGUCAUAAAGACAACAAUCGCCAUCGAUCAACACAAUCAAUAAUUUUGGCGCAAAUUCAACCGUGUUUCAUUUGGCGAGCUCUCAACCUUAUCAUGGUGAUAAUCCGAAUAUCUCGCUUAUCACCUCUCCAACACGAAAGCAAGUCUUUUCAGCGCACUUCAGCCCCCGACUUGGCACACCGGCACCCCUCCACUGGCCCCACCGCCCCCGACUUACUUUCGCAUCAAUGGACCGCCGUGUCCUUCAAAAGGCCAAUUUCCACCCGCUUUUCACACGAGAAAACUCACAGCAAAACAGAACACAGCAACACCACACUUUCUGUAUCAUCUACUGUACACAAGUAAAAA
Tribolium castaneum (red flour beetle) is the source of this 561-nucleotide long non-coding RNA. RefSeq lists it as uncharacterized. The record is from RefSeq and is a predicted model, not a curated record. The transcript has 2 exons. Lineage: Eukaryota; Metazoa; Arthropoda; Insecta; Coleoptera; Tenebrionidae.